GGGGACGAUCUGGCUUCGACGGGCAGAUGAAGGAGUGGCAGAACAGCAUGUCGGGAUUUCUCGCUACCCCGUAAAAUAGUGGGAAAACAAAUAAUUGACAACUAUAGCUAUGCUAUGGCUGCUUAAAAAAAGCAGCCCGUCCACUACUGAUCUUGCCCAUUAGGUCAGUAGAUGGGCGUCGUCAAAAAUGGGCCGAUUUGCUUUGUAGUCCGGGCAAAGCAAAUCUGAUUUGAAUCCGGACUCGCCGUCUAAAGGCUUGCCGAACUGCCUGAUGACGGUUAAAUAAAACCGUUCGGCUAAGCAUGUAGAAGUUCUGUUAGUCUCCUGCCCGGACCCGGGUUCGAUUCCCGGCGUCUCCACCA
Molecule: transfer-messenger RNA, 362 nt
Filed under: Gammaproteobacteria bacterium
Lineage: Bacteria; Pseudomonadati; Pseudomonadota; Gammaproteobacteria
Rfam family: transfer-messenger RNA
About the family: Bacterial tmRNA, also known as 10Sa RNA or SsrA, is named for its dual tRNA and mRNA-like properties.
Source: RNAcentral